UGGGGAAUAUUGCACAAUGGGCGCAAGCCUGAUGCAGCCAUGCCGCGUGUAUGAAGAAGGCCUUCGGGUUGUAAAGUACUUUCAGCGGGGAGGAAGGGAGUAAAGUUAAUACCUUUGCUCAUUGACGUUACCCGCAGAAGAAGCACCGGCUAACUCCGUGCCAGCAGCCGCGGUAAUACGGAGGGAGCAAGCGUUAAUCGGAAUUACUGGGCGUAAAGCGCACGCAGGCGGUUUGUUAAGUCAGAUGUGAAAUCCCCGGGCUCAACCUGGGAACUGCAUCUGAUACUGGCAAGCUUGAGUCUCGUAGAGGGGGGUAGAAUUCCAGGUGUAGCGGUGAAAUGCGUAGAGAUCUGGAGGAAUACCGGUGGCGAAGGCGGCCCCCUGGACGAAGACUGACGCUCAGGUGCGAAAGCGUGGGGAGCAAACA
This 427-nucleotide ribosomal RNA is filed under the name uncultured bacterium. RNAcentral's name for it is "partial 16S ribosomal RNA". It matches the Rfam family "Bacterial small subunit ribosomal RNA", at positions 355 to 774 of the family's 1533-position model. The record is from RNAcentral.